Molecule: ribosomal RNA, 417 nt
Filed under: Triticum aestivum (bread wheat)
Lineage: Eukaryota; Viridiplantae; Streptophyta; Magnoliopsida; Poales; Poaceae
Description: partial small subunit ribosomal RNA
Source: RNAcentral
AUGAGUUCGGUCUUUGAACGAUUCGGUUACGAGGUCAAGUAUGGGAAGGUAUGGAUGGCCAAGGCAAACACUAUUAGGAUGUUGCAUGGUGAUUAUGUGUCCGCGUACAAUAUUCUACCAAGGAUGUUGGGAGCCAUUGCUCAUCGGAACCCGGGCAUGCGCCAUAGAGUCGAGUCAAUUGACGGAGUGUUUCACCGAGCUUUCUGGAGCUUUGGCCAAUGCAUUGAGGCAUUUAAGCAUUGUCGGUCCGUCUUGUCAAUUGAUGGCACGUUCUUGACCGGCAAAUACAAGGGCACAUUGAUGGUGGCAAUGACCCAUUCGUCCAUUGACAAUGUGUUGCCGGUGGCAUUUACCUUGGUGCCUUCCGAGCAUGAUGACAAUUGGGAGUGGUUUGUGGACCAUGAAGGACAAAGGUGA